Molecule: long non-coding RNA, 810 nt
Organism: Polyodon spathula (Mississippi paddlefish)
Lineage: Eukaryota; Metazoa; Chordata; Actinopteri; Acipenseriformes; Polyodontidae
Exons: 3
Source: RefSeq, a predicted model, not a curated record
AGGGGAACUUGGCAACACCGGCAACGAGUUUUCCUGCGCAUGUGCUUGAGACGAACGAGAAUGGAUAUUUUCCCAAAUGCUGUCUCUUAAUAAAAUUAGAUACAGAGCUCCUUGUCUUCCAGGGAAAGUGACAGGAGCCAGGACAGGUGAGACCUGCCUUUCCUGGAGCCUGCUGUUCCUAUCAACAGGGGUUUCAUUCAACACAGAUGUCUGUCAUGAAGAAUUUAAGUUUCACAUUUUCGUCUGUCAGUCUUGAACAGCCUGUCAUCUGGAGCUUGAAGUACAGUUUGCCAACAGGCUUUUAGGCCACAAUGAAAAUACAAUCUUAUAUUUGUGCUACCAGGCUCCAAGUAAUCCUCCGCUUUCCUCCUCACUGGCCCAGUUAUGAUCUGGCUUAAAUUACAUUUUUUUUUUUUUUUUUUUCCGGAUUUUGCUGAUAAAUGCUAUCAGCAAGAGUGAAAUGAAAUAUGGGAGGUCCAGCUCUUAUUAAGAGAAUAUAUAUUUUCCAUUUUAAAGAGAAGGGUUGUUCAUAUUUUAGAGUGUGCCUCCAUAUCAUAAAAUAAUGAGUAUAUUGUUAAUAUUUUAAAAAAUGUAACUUCAGAAUUCUGCCAGUAACUGCUGCAUGUCCUGUAAUUAUUUAUUUGUCUUAAGUCAAGUUCCAGAUCAAAAAGUAUAUCAAGUAACACACACAGCAUUACUAAUAUGAAUCUUUCCAACCACAGUGACAUUUAUUUAUUUAUUCAAUCUUUGGUAUGAUUUUAAAAAAACUUAAAAAAAAAAUGUUUGAAGUAAAAUAGGGAAGCAAUUAGA